UCUGCUACCGUGACUCUAUGCUGUACUCUUGACACAAAGUUCUCACGCUCAGAAAAUAAAGACUGUUUGAGUACAAUGAUUCCUCUCCUGCAUUGUGUCACAUGACAUGCACAUUCUUAAGGAAAUCACAAGCCUAAUAGUUUAAUGAAGCAAGUCUUAUGAAGACUUAAAAAGAAAGAGAGUUUUCUUAGAGCAAAGAAUGGAGCCUACCCAUGCGCAUCAUGGCCACCAUUGCUCCACUUGCAAUCACGAAUGUUGACUUGCAUGCCUACAUUUGGAUGUGCAUUGGCUCAUUUGACACCAAUGAACGCUUUCUCGGUGCAGGGCAGAAUCGUCGGAACCAAAAACUAAGCAUAAGUAUGUAGGCAAAAGUGCAGAAGUUCAGUUCAGAAAAAGUGAAAGACAUUGAGUUUAAAUCUUCUGCAUGAUUCAAUCCAUUAACAACCAUUCCUGAUCAAAUGUGAUUCGCUACUUGGUGCUAAAUAGAUGGUAAAUUUUUAUUUUUUGCUUGUCUCUAGUAAUAUACAUGUCUAAUCAUAUACCGUUGCAAAGUUUUACACGAGAGAAAGAGAGAGAGGGAGGGAGGGAGGGAGGGAGAGAGAGAGAGACUGAGAGUUCAGAUGAGAGGGGUUGCAUCUUGGAUCUAUACUCGGACUGAUGUUGCGGGGGAGAGACAGAUAACUCACCGGUGCUAUUGCAGGGGAAGGAACAAACAGCGCGGAGGAGCGCAGAGGCACGACCUCUCACCUAGGGACGCCAGCCAGGAGAGCUCACAAGUCAAGAUGGACUCUUUCGCUCGGGUUCAAGGUCGGGCGAGGGUGACACAGAAGUUGCCAUGACGCUGAUCGCAUCACUGGG
This 858-nucleotide long non-coding RNA is filed under the name Hordeum vulgare. Its description in RNAcentral is "long non-coding RNA (HVUL_LNC000353)". The record is from RNAcentral. Lineage: Eukaryota; Viridiplantae; Streptophyta; Magnoliopsida; Poales; Poaceae.